UUAAGUUCAGCGGGUAUCCCCACCUGAUCCGAGGUCAACCUUUGAUGGAGUGUUUAACGGCCGGCCGCCCCCUCUCGCCAGCGGACUUGUGCCACAACGCUGAGAUCGGAGCCGUCCCGCCGGAGACAUUCGGGCGCGGGUCUCCCCGUCGCCCAAUACCAAGCCAGGCUUGAGUGGUGAAAUGACGCUCGAACAGGUGU
This 200-nucleotide unclassified non-coding RNA is filed under the name fungal sp. RNAcentral's name for it is "partial internal transcribed spacer 2". Lineage: Eukaryota; Fungi. The record is from RNAcentral.